Molecule: ribosomal RNA, 508 nt
Filed under: uncultured bacterium
Lineage: Bacteria
Description: partial 16S ribosomal RNA
Rfam family: Bacterial small subunit ribosomal RNA
Source: RNAcentral
GACGAACGCUGGCGGCGUGCCUAAUACAUGCAAGUCGAACGCUUCUUUCCUCCCGAGUGCUUGCACUCAAUUGGAAAGAGGAGUGGCGGACGGGUGAGUAACACGUGGGUAACCUACCCAUCAGAGGGGGAUAACACUUGGAAACAGGUGCUAAUACCGCAUAACAGUUUAUGCCGCAUGGCAUAAGAGUGAAAGGCGCUUUCGGGUGUCGUUGAUGGAUGGACCCGCGGUGCAUUAGCUAGUUGGGGAGGUAACGGCCCACCAAGGCCACGAUGCAUAGCCGACCUGAGAGGGUGAUCGGCCACACUGGGACUGCGACACGGCCCAGACUCCUACGGGAGGCAGCAGUAGGGAAUCUUCGGCAAUGGACGAAAGUCUGACCGAGCAACGCCGCGUGAGUGAAGAAGGUUUUCGGAUCGUAAAACUCUGUUGUUAGAGAAGAACAAGGACGUUAGUAACUGAACGUCCCCUGACGGUAUCUAACCAGAAAGCCACGGCUAACUACGUG